RNAcentral lists this long non-coding RNA (200 nucleotides) under Lathyrus oleraceus (garden pea). RNAcentral describes it as "Pisum sativum (pea) long non-coding RNA (PSAT_LNC008554)". Lineage: Eukaryota; Viridiplantae; Streptophyta; Magnoliopsida; Fabales; Fabaceae. The record is from RNAcentral.
UGAGUCAGCAUUUAAGAGUUAUACCUACCCAAGGUCUUUAUGGGCAUUUCCUAUCCUUAUGAGGGUAAAACUGUCCUUACUAUUGAGAAGUAAGUAGUCUUAUCCCUUUGGAUGUAAAGGGACAUCGUAGGGUCACCGAUCAGUCAUUGAAGGCAACAUUUGUAAGGAUACCUUAGCAUUCGAAGGGGCGAUCAUCAUUU